GAUCCGGUAGCCAAGUGGUAAGGCAAGAGUGUGCAAUGCUCUAAUCGUAGGUUCGAAUCCUACCCGGAUCUCCA
RNAcentral lists this transfer RNA (74 nucleotides) under Candidatus Woesebacteria bacterium RIFCSPHIGHO2_12_FULL_44_11. Its description in RNAcentral is "tRNA-Cys". It matches the Rfam family "tRNA". Rfam says of the family: Transfer RNA (tRNA) molecules are approximately 80 nucleotides in length. Their secondary structure includes four short double-helical elements and three loops (D, anti-codon, and T loops). Further hydrogen bonds mediate the characteristic L-shaped molecular structure. tRNAs have two regions of fundamental functional importance: the anti-codon, which is responsible for specific mRNA codon recognition, and the 3' end, to which the tRNAs corresponding amino acid is attached (by aminoacyl-tRNA synthetases). tRNAs cope with the degeneracy of the genetic code in two manners: having more than one tRNA (with a specific anti-codon) for a particular amino acid; and 'wobble' base-pairing, i.e. permitting non-standard base-pairing at the 3rd anti-codon position. The record is from RNAcentral. Lineage: Bacteria; Candidatus Woeseibacteriota.